GGAUGCGGAUCUCGAAAGCCUGUCCCAGUUCGGACUGGAGUCUGCCAACCCGACUCCACGAAGUUGGAUUCGCUAGUAAUCGCGCAUCAGCCAUGGCGCGGUGAAUACGUUCCCCGGGCCUUGUACACACCGCCCGUCAAGCCAUGGGAGCCGGGGGCGCCUGAAGUCCGGGACCGCGAGGACCGGCCUAGGGCGAAACUGGUAACUGGGGCUAAGUCGUAACAAGGUACC
This 231-nucleotide ribosomal RNA is filed under the name uncultured bacterium. RNAcentral's name for it is "partial 16S ribosomal RNA". It matches the Rfam family "Bacterial small subunit ribosomal RNA", at positions 1263 to 1500 of the family's 1533-position model. The record is from RNAcentral.